AAAAAACUGAAAAAUUCAAUUGGUCCCGUGUGCGGUUAUUCGCGUGAUUUUAUUGAUCUUAAAUGACUGUCAAGUUUUUUAAAAGUUUUAAGUACCGAGUCAUGUCUAAAGCAAUUCAAAUUUUUCAUUACAUGCAAAUAUAAAAAUUAAAUCCUUCUUAAUCACAUUAAUCAGCGUCGGAAAAGCUCGUGUUUACGUUCGAGCAAUUUCUCGACGGAGUUAUGUUAUUAACAUCAUAAAUCGAAACGGAAAUAUUUUCGUCCGUAAAUCUACUUCGAUUUACCGAUGUGCUACCUGUUCUAAUGAGUUGUAAAAUUCGUACUAUCUAAGCGCCUCGAAACUGGUUAAGGUUGUUACCUAAAAUUUGUCUCGUGAGAACGUUAAAAUGGAAAAUAACGCGAAAAAUGAAGAUUGUGAAAUUCAGGGGAUUAAUAUAGUGAGCAAGAAAGAAGACAGUUCAUCCCAAACUGUACAAAAUUCUUCAGACGCAAAAGUUCCCGUGGAUUCUAAGAAUACUCAAGUUCGUGUCGUCCGAGGAACAAAAAAGAUAAAAUUAGACGUUGGUGAUGGUAAUAACUUGGAAAAAAAAGAUUCCAAGGAUGAAGAAAACAAUACAGAGGUGAAAGUAAAAUCUUUGAAAAGAUCUUGUGAAUUAUGGUCCAUGGAGGAUAAAAAUACCUUUUUCAAAGCUUUAAACGAGUAUGGAAAAGACUUUGAUGCUUUACAAAGUUAUUUCUUGAGUCAGGGAAAGAAAAAAGGUUUACCAGAUGUUGUGAUAAAAAAUAAGGAACAGAUUAGGCAUUUUUAUUACAGAACUUGGCUAAAAAUAUCGAAGCACCUAAAAUUUUCAGAAGAUGUAAAAAAAACUUCGCAGGAAUUGUAUGGAUUAAUUAAUUAUGGUGAACUUAGAAGAAAGUUACCACGAAUAUAUGAAAAGGUACAGUUGAAAUUAAAUGAGUUGGUUUAUUGGGGUUCAACACAAGUCAGACUUAGAGGAAGAACUAUGAGAAUUAAAACACCUAUAUGUAGAGCACUGAGAAAACUGAAUCAACUAGAAGAUUGGCAAGAAGAAAUUAAACUUCCCCCUAGGAUAACAAUAGAAUUAAGGCCCCGUAAUAAUAUGGCAUGGUGGCAAGUGCAAGCAUCUUCGAUGAAUCCAAGAGUACGCACUCUAUUACCUAUACAGAGACGUUUGUCUAGUUUAUUAAUAUUUCUGCAACAAAGAUGGAGACCUGCAAAGUAUAACACAUUCCCCAAUUUAGAAAAUGCAGUUGCUAAUGAAAUGAAAGAUAAUCGGUUAUUACGAGUAGCACCACCUGAAGGGAGCAAAAUUGCUUUGCCAAUGGUGAACCUUGGAGAGUAUCUAACCAGCAACAGUGUCAGUUUAAAUUCUUAUGAAAAACGUCUAGGAUUGAAAAGUUCCAGAAUGGACCUAUUAGGCUCAGAACAAUACAUAAAAGGAGUUGGAAAGAAAGGAAUUAAGAAAAACAAAGUAGACAAAAAAUGCAUGAGCCGUACAGAGGAUAACUGUACCAUGCCGGACAAUAAUAGUGAUAUAGAUGCAAUAGAAUCUAGCAGUAAUGUUGCAGAAAGGCCGUCGACUGUUAGUAACACCGAAAAAGCUAAUCCAGAGCAAAAAACAGAAUUUAACAGAUUUCCGGGAAGGGAAACUAUUGAAAGAAUUCGGAAGGGAUGGAACAUCGAGGAAGCAAACACCAUUACUGUGGGGGACCUCUUUUUGAUGUUUGGUCGCGAAUCGAAAGUUACGCUGGAAUAUUGGUGGGACUGGAAUCAUCGGGAACAACACGUUGUAGAGUCUACAUCAACAACUUUACGCGAUGAUAAUUUGUGUCUUACCUUGCAAAAGCUAUUAUCUAUAGCAAAACAUAGUUAUGGCACGAGUAAAGUAUAUGAUAAUACUUCUGGAAGUAAUGAAACUGUGAUUUCCUCUCGAAUACUUUCGACGAAAGCAUCGACCUUUAAAAGACCUUUAAUUCCACAAACUUAUCAAAAGAUUGGAACACCAGAUGCUUUCAAAACGCAGUUAGAUAAGUUUACAACACGUUUCAGUAAACGAGGUAGAACCGUGCGGCAAAAAAGUCUUAUUGUACAAAGAGUAUUGCCAAUAAUAUCUACUACAAGCAAUGCACCAGAAGACGUAACUUCUAAUAAUCAAGAAGCAAAUAAAAUAAAUGACCCUCCUAUAAAUAAUGAUGAUCAACAAAAUGAUAAAUCGCCAUCCAUAAUUAUAAAUGUACCACAGGAAAAAAAUUUUUUGGAUGAACUUGAAGCAGCAAGAGUUCCGAAACCUACGAAUUCCAUUAUAACAAGUGCAACGCAAAUACUUAAAGAGGGAGAACAUCAAUGGUUGAAUAGUGAGGUAGCAGAUUUUUCAUUAAGUAGUUUCCUAGGUCAAUUAGAGUCCCCCAUGAAAAUCUCACAGAGAAGUCAAAAUGAAAAUAAUAUAGAAGAUAGUCGACCAUCGUCCGAUGUCGUUUCACAUAUGCAAUGCUUGAUGGGAGAGAGUAGCGUUGAUUAUAUGGCGAAAUUUGCAAACCUUGCAUCGCAGAUAGCAUCUGACGAUAACAAAAAAUAAAAGUAUAAAUAAUUGACUAGUUUUGCACUAAUUUUCAUAUGAGCAACUAUCUAAAAUUAUGUAAAUGUGAUGAUACAUGGGAGCAUGUAAUGAUAUUUAGACUGAUUAAUUUAUCUCUUUGAUAUUGGCUUUUACAGUCGACUGUUAUAAUAAUACUAAUACUAAUAAUAAUGAUAACGAAAAUAAUAAUAUAUGGAAAAUAAAGUAAUUCAUAUGCAUAUACAAACUUCCUGUAUGAUUUCACUUUUCUAUGAUUAGCAAUUUAUAAAGUAUGUAUUAUAUAUAUAUUAUUUAACACUUUGUUCAGCAUAAAAUGCUUAGGCAUAUCUAUUCUGAAUAUUCAUUAAUUUUUUAUUGUAUUUUUUUCUAUGAUACAGGAUGCAAAAUUAAUUUAUAUAGCAAGUUCAAGUUCUUAAUCUUGCAUCAAUAAUUCAUGAAUGUUCAUAAAUAUUUCAUCCUACGUUUGAUGCUAAAGGUUUAUUGAAAACUGCACAAAUGCGGGAGGAAUACGUUUAUAGGUGAUAUUUAGUAUCCUUAUUUAACCCACAAAGAUGACGCGUCAUCUGUUUAUGGAAUCAUUUAGGCUAGUUCUCGUGUAUGACUAUCACUAUUGCGUUGCAAUCUCAUGUAACUAAUUAAGUAUGUUGAAAGAAAAAAAACAAAUCCCCGUUUAUAACUUCCUUAACUAAAAGAAGUAACAAAAUCCAGGUAUAUAUAAACUCCUCCUAUUUUUCUCGUAUCAUAAGUUCCACUAAUUACGUAUAUAUAGAAUGUGAGAAAGAUGAAUAUGUGAUUUUCCCUGGACGUAAGCACCUUCUUUGAGUGAACUGAACUGGUUUCACUCAUCUCAUCGAUCACAGAAGAAUAAAUCGUUAACUAUCUAUGCUUUCUUUCCAGAAAAAAAUGUAACAUACAAUUACACAUAAAAAUUCGCACACAAAUAAUAUUUGUUAUCUUUUCCUUUAAAGUCAUAAACAUAAUUAUAUGAAU
Bombus huntii is the source of this 3586-nucleotide RNA transcript. It is a transcript of the gene named protein cramped, with no coding region annotated. Lineage: Eukaryota; Metazoa; Arthropoda; Insecta; Hymenoptera; Apidae. The record is from RefSeq and is a predicted model, not a curated record. The transcript has 13 exons.